ACGAACGCUGGCGGCGUGCCUAAUACAUGCAAGUUGAGCGCUGAAGGUUGGUACUUGUACCAACUGGAUGAGCAGCGAACGGGUGAGUAACGCGUGGGGAAUCUGCCUUUGAGCGGGGGACAACAUUUGGAAACGAAUGCUAAUACCGCAUAAAAACUUUAAACACAAGUUUUAAGUUUGAAAGAUGCAAUUGCAUCACUCAAAGAUGAUCCCGCGUUGUAUUAGCUAGUUGGUGAGGUAAAGGCUCACCAAGGCGAUGAUACAUAGCCGACCUGAGAGGGUGGUCGGCCACAUUGGGACGGAGACACGGCCCAAACUCCUACGGGAGGCAGCAGUAGGGAAUCUUCGGCAAUGGACGAAAGUCUGACCGAGCAACGCCGCGUGAGUGAAGAAGGUUUUCGGAUCGUAAAACUCUGUUGGUAGAGAAGAACGUUGGUGAGAGUGGAAAGCUCAUCAAGUGACGGUAACUACCCAGAAAGGGACGGCUAACUACGUG
This 496-nucleotide ribosomal RNA is filed under the name uncultured bacterium. Its description in RNAcentral is "partial 16S ribosomal RNA". It matches the Rfam family "Bacterial small subunit ribosomal RNA", at positions 29 to 507 of the family's 1533-position model. The record is from RNAcentral.